Alexandromys fortis (reed vole) is the source of this 2119-nucleotide long non-coding RNA. RefSeq lists it as uncharacterized. NCBI's taxonomy places the organism in Eukaryota, Metazoa, Chordata, Mammalia, Rodentia, Cricetidae. The record is from RefSeq and is a predicted model, not a curated record. The transcript has 3 exons.
CAGGUUUGUCUGAGAUGCAGGGACUGGAGGAAGGGAAGAAUGAAGGACACCCAGGUGGCAUGCUGGGGGCAGCAGCAGAGCCAGAUGGCUUCCUAUCCUACUUGGAACUUGAAUACUGGGUUUCUUCCAUUAAAAUAUAAGAAAAUCGAGGCUCAAGAUGAUGCCAAUACAGAUGGAAGCUUGACUCCAGCGGAACCUGGGUGGUUUUAACGUGCAGCCAACGACCCAACAACAUUCCACACCCUUUCUACAAUGAAAACCAAGAAAGAGAACCACUGAACCACUUCGGCAAAGCAGCCGCUGUUGGAAUUCCUCUCCUUCUUUCGUCUGGAUUUGUAAACAGAGGCUGUGAGUCUGUGGAAGCCAAAGUAAACAGUGGCAGAUGCAAACAAGGCUUCCAGUGAGGAGAAUCUAAUGGAAUUAUUGGUAUAUCAUUCCUGACAGCCUGCGCUGGAUACGGAUGGAGAACGCCAACCCCAGUUUGAAAGAAGAUGACUUGCUUGACUGGAGCUCAGCUGACAACCCCAGUUAAUGAGAGUACAGGUGUGGCACCGUUGGCGUGAGAAAGAUGAAGGAAGAUGGAGCAGAUUGGUCCUCAGAGAUUUGUGUUUAUAGACAGUGGCUAACUUGCAAGGACCAUUCUGGGCUUUGUUUAUCUUCCAACCUCCAUUCUUUUCUGGUUUUCCAGAAUGCUUUCCGGGGACCACUUACAUCAGCGUUACCUGGGUAGUUAGUAACACAGACACGUUUCUGGGCCUGAUGCUCGCAGAUCCUGGUUUGUGAGGAUGAUGUGUGACUUCCUUUUCCUUGAAAAGCUUUUCGGUACUUGUGAUAAACAGCGCCAUGGAGGUGGCAUUCGUCCAUUACUUGUACAUUCAGACGUGUAAUUUCAUGAUCACUCAGCAAUUGGGGUUCAAGGAAAGCUGAUCAAAGCUGGAGAGUUCUGAGUCCUCAGCUCUUAAAGGGCCAGGGCCAAGUCUUAUUUAUCCUCACAUUCUUGGCAAGAUGUCUUGGAGCAUGUGAAGCCCUUUGUUUAUAGGAACUGGAGAUGGGACCCAGAAAAGCUAAAUGAUUCACUUGUGGCUUUGCUGUUGAUGCAAUGCAGAGUCACCUGAAUCCUUACUUUGCCUCUGCGCUCUUCAGUAUCUGGCCUCUCCAAACUGCUCCUUGUAAAAGGGUCCCAGUGUGUGAAGUGUAUCUGAUGCGUAAAACUAUGCUGAGUGGUUUAAGCUUGUGAUUGCUUUUUAUUCUUUAUUGAUUAUGAUCUGUUAAAUUGACAUUAUCUACUCCCCUUUAUAGGAAAAGUGCAGAAAAUCUCAUGACUGGUGAGGGUGGAAGAAAAUUCCUAACAAGGUUUCUUUUGUGGACACUGUGGCAGAAACGCCAAGCAAGAAACUCUUGGGGUGCUAACAGUGCUGUAAGUGGGGUCCUUGGAAGGUCAGUGUAUAGAGAACCACCACCAUUGCACACACUGAGGGUUCCUGUUGCUCUUCAGUGACAUGGUGGGAAUCAAGUCUCGGUGGAGCUGGGUUGUGAACCCAUGUUCAUUGGAUCCACCCUGUUGCAUUUCCCAAUGAGCCCUUGGCUCCCUAUCAACCCACCAUUGGGAAUUCUCCAUGUGAACUCACACAGAAUGUAAAUGGAAGAUAUAAACUAGAUGCUAGGACAUUUUAAUCUACAAAGGUUACUGUUUUCCAACCUCAUGUGGAAAGGUCCCAGCAGACACCUGGAAGUGACUACUUCCGGGAUAACAGAUGAUAGAAGCUCAUUUACCUAAGAUGAAGAAACUUUGCUAUUGUUGAUACCUGCAUAGACACAUAACUUCUUAAAAAGCCUUAGCCGUGUAUUAUCGUAAUAAGCUGCAUAUAUCUGAAGUGUUUAGUUUGAUAAGUUUUGACAUGUAGACACAUCCAUAGUUAGGAUAAUGAUUAUAUCUAUCUCCCCCAAAGGUCUUAUUACAAUCCCUUUCUCUGGCCCUUCCUUAACUACUUUUUCUUUCUUUCAAGGUACUUAUAAUUUACUUUCUAUAUUUUUACUACAUGUAGUUAUUUUCAUAUAUCAUUUACUCCUUUUUAUUGUUUGGUGAUAUCCCAUUUCUUAGAUGUUUAUGACUUGUGUA